AAUAAAAUGCCUGAUAAAAGGGUUACUUUGAUAGAGUAAAUUAUAUAGAUUUCUAUUUUUAUUA
RNAcentral lists this transfer RNA (64 nucleotides) under Arcoscalpellum epeeum. RNAcentral describes it as "tRNA-Ile". Lineage: Eukaryota; Metazoa; Arthropoda; Thecostraca; Scalpellidae. The record is from RNAcentral.